UCUAAGCGCGAAGCCGGCCGCAAGAUUGGAUUUCACAGGGCCGUCAGAGACGAUGACGUCGAUAGGGCGCAGGUGCACGGGCGGAGACGCCCUCAGCCGAGCGCUACUAAUUGCCCGCACGCUUUCCUGG
Molecule: ribosomal RNA, 130 nt
Filed under: Candidatus Phocaeicola excrementipullorum
Lineage: Bacteria; Pseudomonadati; Bacteroidota; Bacteroidia; Bacteroidales; Bacteroidaceae
Description: partial 23S ribosomal RNA
Rfam family: Bacterial large subunit ribosomal RNA
Source: RNAcentral